This 406-nucleotide unclassified non-coding RNA is filed under the name soil metagenome. RNAcentral's name for it is "partial contains 5.8S ribosomal RNA, internal transcribed spacer 2, and large subunit ribosomal RNA". The stretch from base 1 to 121 matches the Rfam family "5.8S ribosomal RNA", at positions 35 to 154 of the family's 154-position model. The record is from RNAcentral.
GAUGAAGAACGUAGCGAAAUGCGAUAAGUAAUGUGAAUUGCAGAAUUCAGUGAAUCAUCGAAUCUUUGAACGCACCUUGCGCCCUUUGGCCAUUCCGAAGGGCAUACCUGUUUGAGUAUCAUGAACACCUCAACUCUUCAUGGUUUUCCAUGAUGAGCUUGGACUUUGGGGGUCUUGCUGGCCUGUGGGUCGGCUCCUCUCAAAUGAAUCAGCUUGCCGGUUUUUGGUGGGCAUCACAGGUGUGAUAACUAUCUACGCUUGUGGUUUUCCACCAGGGUAACCUUCAGCAGUGGAGGUUCACUGGAGCUUACAAAUGUCUCUCCUCUGUGAGGACAGCCCUUUGAAUGUUUGAUCUCAAAUCAGGUAGGACUACCCGCUGAACUUAAGCAUAUCAAUAAGCGGAGGA